GUUAUAUGGUCAAGUGAAGAAGCGCAUACGGUGGAUGCCUUGGCAGUCAGAGGCGAUGAAAGACGUGGUAGCCUGCGAAAAGCUUCGGGGAGUCGGCAAACAGACUUUGAUCCGGAGAUGUCUGAAUGGGGGAACCCAGCCAUCAUAAGAUGGUUAUCUUACGCUGAAUACAUAGGCGUAAGAGGCGAACCAGGGGAACUGAAACAUCUAAGUACCCUGAGGAAAAGAAAUCAACCGAGAUUCCCUUAGUAGUGGCGAGCGAACGGGGACUAGCCCUUAAGUGGCUUUGAGAUUAGCGGAACGCUCUGGAAAGUGCGGCCAUAGUGGGUGAUAGCCCUGUACGCGAAAAUCUCUUAGUCAUGAAAUCGAGUAGGACGGAGCACGAGAAACUUUGUCUGAAUAUGGGGGGACCAUCCUCCAAGGCUAAAUACUACUGACUGACCGAUAGUGAACUAGUACCGUGAGGGAAAGGCGAAAAGAACCCCGGAGAGGGGAGUGAAAUAGAUCCUGAAACCGUAUGCGUACAAGCAGUGGGAGCCCACUUUGUUGGGUGACUGCGUACCUUUUGUAUAAUGGGUCAGCGACUUAUUUUCAGUGGCGAGCUUAACCGAAUAGGGGAGGCGUAGCGAAAGCGAGUCUUAAUAGGGCGUCUAGUCGCUGGGAAUAGACCCGAAACCGGGCGAUCUAUCCAUGGGCAGGUUGAAGGUUGGGUAACACUAACUGGAGGACCGAACCGACUACCGUUGAAAAGUUAGCGGAUGACCUGUGGAUCGGAGUGAAAGGCUAAUCAAGCUCGGAGAUAGCUGGUUCUCCUCGAAAGCUAUUUAGGUAGCGCCUCAUGUAUCACUGUAGGGGGUAGAGCACUGUUUCGGCUAGGGGGUCAUCCCGACUUACCAAACCGAUGCAAACUCCGAAUACCUACAAGUGCCGAGCAUGGGAGACACACGGCGGGUGCUAACGUCCGUCGUGAAAAGGGAAACAACCCAGACCGUCAGCUAAGGUCCCAAAGUUAUGGUUAAGUGGGAAACGAUGUGGGAAGGCUUAGACAGCUAGGAGGUUGGCUUAGAAGCAGCCACCCUUUAAAGAAAGCGUAAUAGCUCACUAGUCGAGUCGGCCUGCGCGGAAGAUGUAACGGGGCUCAAACCAUACACCGAAGCUACGGGUAUCACGUAAGUGAUGCGGUAGAGGAGCGUUCUGUAAGCCUGUGAAGGUGAGUUGAGAAGCUUGCUGGAGGUAUCAGAAGUGCGAAUGCUGACAUGAGUAACGACAAUGGGUGUGAAAAACACCCACGCCGAAAGACCAAGGUUUCCUGCGCAACGUUAAUCGACGCAGGGUUAGUCGGUCCCUAAGGCGAGGCUGAAAAGCGUAGUCGAUGGAAAACAGGUUAAUAUUCCUGUACUUCUGGUUAUUGCGAUGGAGGGACGGAGAAGGCUAGGCCAGCUUGGCGUUGGUUGUCCAAGUUUAAGGUGGUAGGCUGAGAUCUUAGGUAAAUCCGGGAUCUUAAGGCCGAGAGCUGAUGACGAGCUAACUUUUAGUUAGCGAAGUGGUUGAUGCCAUGCUUCCAAGAAAAGCUUCUAAGCUUCAGGUAACCAGGAACCGUACCCCAAACCGACACAGGUGGUUGGGUAGAGAAUACCAAGGCGCUUGAGAGAACUCGGGUGAAGGAACUAGGCAAAAUGGCACCGUAACUUCGGGAGAAGGUGCGCCGGUGAGGGUGAAGGACUUGCUCCGUAAGCUCAUGCCGGUCGAAGAUACCAGGCCGCUGCGACUGUUUAUUAAAAACACAGCACUCUGCAAACACGAAAGUGGACGUAUAGGGUGUGACGCCUGCCCGGUGCCGGAAGGUUAAUUGAUGGGGUUAGCUAACGCGAAGCUCUUGAUCGAAGCCCCGGUAAACGGCGGCCGUAACUAUAACGGUCCUAAGGUAGCGAAAUUCCUUGUCGGGUAAGUUCCGACCUGCACGAAUGGCGUAACGAUGGCGGCGCUGUCUCCACCCGAGACUCAGUGAAAUUGAAAUCGCUGUGAAGAUGCAGUGUAUCCGCGGCUAGACGGAAAGACCCCGUGAACCUUUACUAUAGCUUUGCACUGGACUUUGAAUUUGCUUGUGUAGGAUAGGUGGGAGGCUUUGAAGCGUGGACGCCAGUCUGCGUGGAGCCAACCUUGAAAUACCACCCUGGCAACUUUGAGGUUCUAACUCAGGUCCGUUAUCCGGAUCGAGGACAGUGUAUGGUGGGUAGUUUGACUGGGGCGGUCUCCUCCUAAAGAGUAACGGAGGAGUACGAAGGUGCGCUCAGACCGGUCGGAAAUCGGUCGUAGAGUAUAAAGGCAAAAGCGCGCUUGACUGCGAGACAGACACGUCGAGCAGGUACGAAAGUAGGUCUUAGUGAUCCGGUGGUUCUGUAUGGAAGGGCCAUCGCUCAACGGAUAAAAGGUACUCCGGGGAUAACAGGCUGAUACCGCCCAAGAGUUCAUAUCGACGGCGGUGUUUGGCACCUCGAUGUCGGCUCAUCACAUCCUGGGGCUGAAGCCGGUCCCAAGGGUAUGGCUGUUCGCCAUUUAAAGUGGUACGCGAGCUGGGUUUAGAACGUCGUGAGACAGUUCGGUCCCUAUCUGCCGUGGACGUUUGAGAUUUGAGAGGGGCUGCUCCUAGUACGAGAGGACCGGAGUGGACGAACCUCUGGUGUUCCGGUUGUCACGCCAGUGGCAUUGCCGGGUAGCUAUGUUCGGAAUAGAUAACCGCUGAAAGCAUCUAAGCGGGAAACUAGCCUCAAGAUGAGAUCUCACUGGAACCUUGAGUUCCCUGAAGGGCCGUCGAAGACUACGACGUUGAUAGGUUGGGUGUGUAAGCGCUGUGAGGCGUUGAGCUAACCAAUACUAAUUGCCCGUGAGGCUUGACCAUAUAACACCCAAGCAAUU
This 2916-nucleotide ribosomal RNA is filed under the name Pseudomonas sp. 2822-17. Its description in RNAcentral is "bacterial LSU rRNA". It matches the Rfam family "Bacterial large subunit ribosomal RNA". The record is from RNAcentral. RNAcentral also lists the same sequence under 2 other names. Lineage: Bacteria; Pseudomonadati; Pseudomonadota; Gammaproteobacteria; Pseudomonadales; Pseudomonadaceae.